Long non-coding RNA from Cornus florida, 2637 nucleotides. RefSeq lists it as uncharacterized. NCBI's taxonomy places the organism in Eukaryota, Viridiplantae, Streptophyta, Magnoliopsida, Cornales, Cornaceae. The transcript has 4 exons. The record is from RefSeq and is a predicted model, not a curated record.
CUGAAACGCUAGCAACAUUUUCCACAACUUUUUCUUUGCCCUCGCAUUUUCAACUUAAACCCACCUUGUUGCUUUAUUUUUUUUUAUUUAUUUUUCAUUGUCAGAGCAGUGACUUUACGAAAAACAAGUGAAGCGGAGGAGACAACACCCAUGAACCAUCUACAAGGUAUUUUUCAUAUCUAAACUUCUAGGGUUAUGGUUUUGUUUCACCUUUUUCUCAAUCCUUCUCCCUAGUCAGGUUAGGGUUAGGGAUUUCGUCAUUCCACUCUUUAUGUUCGCUUUGAUCCGUUUAAUUAUUUAUUUUAUUGAAGAAACUUUGAUUGUGGUUUGUGGAUAUGCAUGCCAUAGGUAGUGACUGGAAUAUUGCAGGUACUUUAUGUGUUACUGAAUACAAACCCUUUAAUUAGUGAACAUGGUCAACAAAAGCAUAUUGUAUUGUAAAUUCAUGAGCCUGACGAGAUCCAUCUGGUUUUAUUGUUUCCAAUUUAACAUAUUAGGUCGAUUUUAGUUAUGUGUAACUUUUUUAAUUGAUGAUGAUGGUGUGCUCAUGACUUCUAUGAUCCGUUCAAUAUGUAGUAGAUACAUGCAAGUGCAUGUCUAGCCUUCCAUGGCUUCCAAAAGCUUUGACAUUUGAUUUAGAGAAUAAGUACUUACAAAAAGUUUCUUAAAAAAUUAUAUACAAUGAAAUCCAUAUUCAAUCAUAAAGAAUAAUCCAAUAUCAUAAACCAAGAAUAUUUGGUAAUACGUAAUCUUCAGUUCAAGAGGAAGUCUGACUGUCACGGAAGCUAAGAGGUAGGAUAAACCACAAUAAUUGAAGGAUAAAUGAAGGCUUUCCUUUCCGUGUUGGAAAAGAAAAGGGAGUCAAUUGCGAGGUGGAUGCUACCACCGAUGUAACAUCUAUAAAUAAGGGGCCGGUACGUCGACCUACGAAGGUACAAAACAAUUCCCUACUCAAUUGUUUUUUUUUCUUAUUUAUUGUCAAGAACUAACUUGACCGUCGGAGAUUCUUAGGCCGGUACCACACUAGUGCCCCUCCGAUUACUUUCUCUCUUCUUUUUCAGAUAUGACACUGUUCCAGAUCGCUGCGAAUUCAUUCAUCAACAUUUGGGAGAUAGAGAGAGAAAGAAAGAUCCGAUUUAUGCCGUGAAAUUGAAAUUAAUUGAUGGCUCUCGACUAUGCUGAUGACAAUAAACUGCCUUUAUUCGCUAAUUUGACUUGGUUGGGGCCGCAUGUUCCAAUUGCUAUGGUUGGAAACGUCUACUGGUUUUGUUCAAUAGCAUGCCAAACCUGGCAUAUCUUGAUUUGACUAGAUUGAAGAAUUGUGAAGAUAAUGCUUUUGAGGAUUUCAAUUUUAUUGAACAAGAAGUGGUGCCUUGUUGUCUGUCAAUGCAUCUUCAAAAAAUUGGAAUUCGUGGAUUUCGGGGGCUGAGUGAUGAGCUGAAGCUGACAGAGUAUUUUCUAAGAAAUUGCAAUGUAUUGCAUAAGAUGGCAAUUGUAAAUUUUUAUUUAGAUGAAAAUCAAGAGAGAGAAUUUCUCAAGAAAGUGGAAAUGUUUCCUAGAAGUUCAAGAAACUGUCAAAUUAUUCUUGAGAAAGAACAAGAAGUUUCCUGACAUGGAAUCAAGUGGGCUCCCAUCUUAUUUUGCAUCUGUUCUCUUUGUAUUGAAAGACUAUGAAAUUGUGUUUGUUACAUUUAUUCCUGAUGAGACAGUUGUUUGAUUUUUGUUUGGAAUACUCCUUUUAUACUGUGUUUGUACAUCAGGUAGAGAGUCAAUGUUUUCACUUGCAAGGUUUUGCUUAUAAUGACUUUAGAAUCUAAUUCCCGGUGAAGAUUGAAGUUUCUUGUAACCUUUGCGCUUUCCCUUUUCUCUUUCUCUGUGGAAACAGCAGCAGAUUAUGGUAUUAGCUCGAUUUCAGUCAACAAAAUGGAAGCAGCAGUGCAUCGAGUUGAUGGAUUUGUGGUUCGCUGUGUUGGUCUAUUUUGAAGAAAAGAAAAUGGGGCCCUCAGGUUGUGGUUAAUAUGGUUGUGAAUCUCUGCUACAAGAAUGUUCUGAAGCUAGUAGUUAGAUUUGAUUGUUUCAGGUAUGAGAAACAAAGAGUAUCCUAAUCAUUGGUUCAGAUCUUCACAAGGGAUGCCAAAGCUCAAGUUUGAUGCGGCGAGCCGCGUAUAAUGCUCCUUCAACGGAGUGUGGUGGAGGCUUUGUCAAGAUUGCAGUUUUGGAGACUUUGAAGCAUGUUUGUAGUUUUUGAUUCACCAUUUCAGUUUCUAAGCUCCUGCUUUCUGUCUCUAGAACUGUGAGAAUAAUUGAUCAUGAGGAUUUCAAUUUUGUUGAACAAGCAAGUGGUGCCUUAUUGAAUUUUUUGGAUUUCGGGGGCUAAGUGAUGAGCUGAAGCUGAUAAGAGUAUGUUUUGAGAAAUGGCACAAUAUUGCAUUUGUUGGCAAUUAAUUUUUUAAUUCAAAAGAAAAGCACAAGAGAGAGUUUCUCAAGAAGCUGCUAUAGUUUCCUGUGGUACAGUAUUAUUUUCAAAUUUUGAGUCUCAUUUUCAAAAUAAAAAUGCUUUUAAAUAGUAAAGAAGCAAUCCUAAACGGGCUCUGAUCCUUAAUUCCACACAAAAAGUCAUGUUAAAGUGAAAAAAAA